AAUUACCAAAUUCUAAAGUUAAUGUGCUGAUAAUCAUAGUAAUCUGCUUUGCAAUUUCCAUGAUUGUAAACAUUGCUUUUAUCUGUCACCAAGCUCAAAGAUCACUGCGUAGAAACCUUAAAGCACAACACAAUGUGAGUCAACCAGAUAAUACUCCUGAAGAUGGACAGGAUCUGAACUAUGCUGCCUUACAUAUCUCAGAACGAAAACCUUCAAGAGGAAAGAUGAAAAAUCAUCUGAAAACUGAAGACAGUGUGUAUUCACAAAUUAUGUACACAACUUAAUUUUGUAAAUCCAAAUAUAACCGCAAU
Fundulus heteroclitus (mummichog) is the source of this 311-nucleotide long non-coding RNA. RefSeq lists it as uncharacterized. Lineage: Eukaryota; Metazoa; Chordata; Actinopteri; Cyprinodontiformes; Fundulidae. The transcript has 3 exons. The record is from RefSeq and is a predicted model, not a curated record.